ACAGGACAAACAAGGCUGAACUGGCUGCGUCCUCAACAGGAGCGAUGAUGUCCUGGUUCACAAGCAGCCCGUCAAGUCUGCAGCGUUCGAGAUCCCGAACCAUCCCUGAAAGCUGAAGAAUACCCGCGCGCGCCGCUGCCGCCGCCGACUUCUCGCUCACAACAAGCCAUGAAGCACUCCAACCCGAAAAACGGCUCAGACGUACCCGCCAGCCCGCCCAGAUACCCUUCGACGCGACUAUCGACCUCUGCUGCAGGCGCCAUCGGCCAAGUCGCGGGCGUUGAGGCGAGUCGAGUUAUUGUUUGGCGAGAGGAGACGCGACGGGCGGACGAAGGGAGGGAAGAUGCGAGGAGCUGAGCCGGGUGCUGGAGGGCGUGUACGAACGUGCAACGUCGUUGUGGGUAUGCCCUGGCGGGAUCUGAGCGUG
Molecule: unclassified non-coding RNA, 427 nt
Filed under: Rhodotorula toruloides
Lineage: Eukaryota; Fungi; Basidiomycota; Microbotryomycetes; Sporidiobolales; Sporidiobolaceae
Source: RNAcentral